GUCAACGUUUCAGUUCAAUUCAGAGAACUUUCAUCAGGACCCUGAUGAAAGUCCUUUGAAUUGAACUGAAACGCUGAC
Molecule: non-coding RNA, 78 nt
Organism: Pelobates cultripes (western spadefoot toad)
Lineage: Eukaryota; Metazoa; Chordata; Amphibia; Anura; Pelobatidae
Source: the annotation of a GenBank genome assembly